CUUGAGAGCGGCGUACGGGUGCGGAACACGUGUGAGCUACAGCUUUAUCUGGGGGAUAGCCUUUCGAAAGGAAGAUUAAUACCCCAUAAUAUGUUGAAUGGCAUCAUCGAAAUUGAAAACUCCCGGUGGAUAGAGAUGGGCACGCGCAGAUUAAGAUAAGUGGUGAGGUACGGGUCAACAAGUCUAAGAACUUAGGGGCUGAAAGGGUGAAUCCCCAAAUGUAACUGGAGAACACGGGACCCAGACUCCUAACGGGGAGGCAGCAGUGAGGAAUAUUGGGACACAUGGGGUGGAAGAGCCUGAUUCCAGCCAUUCCCCGCGUGGAAGGGACGACUGGCCCUAUGGGGUUGGUCAAACUUCCUUUUGUAUAGGGGAUAAACUUAACCCUCCGUGAGGGGGUUAGCCUGAAAGGUCACUUAUACGAAAUAACACCGGGUUAAAUUCCCGGUGGCCAGAAGCCGGGUAAUACGGACGGGUGCACACGUUAUUCCCGGGGAUUAAUGGGGGGGUUUCAAAAAGGGGGUCCCCGCAAGGGCGCGGAAUCUGGUAAGUCCCAGGGGGUUGGAAAAAUUCUCCACCCAGGUUACCAAACUUGGGGAA
This 600-nucleotide ribosomal RNA is filed under the name uncultured bacterium. Its description in RNAcentral is "partial 16S ribosomal RNA". The stretch from base 1 to 490 matches the Rfam family "Bacterial small subunit ribosomal RNA", at positions 88 to 546 of the family's 1533-position model. The record is from RNAcentral.